GAUGAACGCUGGCGGCGUGCCUAAUACAUGCAAGUCGAGCGAACAGACGAGGGGCUUGCUCCUCUGACGUUAGCGGCGGACGGGUGAGUAACACGUGGAUAACCUACCUAUAAGACUGGGAUAACUUCGGGAAACCGGAGCUAAUACCGGAUAAUAUAUUGAACCGCAUGGUUCAAUAGUGAAAGACGGUUUUGCUGUCACUUAUAGAUGGAUCCGCGCCGCAUUAGCUAGUUGGUAAGGUAACGGCUUGCCAAGGCAACGAUGCGUAGCCGACCUGAGAGGGUGAUCGGCCACACUGGAACUGAGACACGGUCCAGACUCCUACGGGAGGCAGCAGUAGGGAAUCUUCCGCAAUGGGCGAAAGCCUGACGGAGCAACGCCGCGUGAGUGAUGAAGGUCUUCGGAUCGUAAAACUCUGUUAUUAGGGAAGAACAAAUGUGUAAGUAACUAUGCACGUCUUGACGGUACCUAAUCAGAAAGCCACGGCUAACUACGUG
Molecule: ribosomal RNA, 497 nt
Filed under: uncultured bacterium
Lineage: Bacteria
Description: partial 16S ribosomal RNA
Rfam family: Bacterial small subunit ribosomal RNA
Source: RNAcentral